UACGUAGGGGGCGAGCGUUGUCCGGAGUUACUGGGCGUAAAGGGCAUGCAGGCGGUCCGACACGUUUUGUGUGACAGCGGGUGGCUUAACUACCCGAGGAUACGAAAGACGGUUGGACUUGAGGACUCGAGAGGGACACGGAAUUCCGGGUGGAGUGGUGAAAUGCGUAGAUAUCGUGAGGAAGACCAGUGGCGAAGGCGGAUCUCUGGACAGCUCCUGACGCUGAGGCGCGAAGGCUAGGGGAGCAAACGGG
Molecule: ribosomal RNA, 253 nt
Filed under: uncultured bacterium
Lineage: Bacteria
Description: partial 16S ribosomal RNA
Rfam family: Bacterial small subunit ribosomal RNA
Source: RNAcentral